AUGUUAUUCAAGGCAUCAAUAGAAAACCCCAUUUUUGUAGGUUCUACUUACUUUCAUUGGCUUCGGAAUAAUAGAGUAAUUCGGAAUAGCAGCCAAAAUCUUGGGAAAAUCUAA
Molecule: ribosomal RNA, 114 nt
Filed under: Triticum aestivum (bread wheat)
Lineage: Eukaryota; Viridiplantae; Streptophyta; Magnoliopsida; Poales; Poaceae
Description: partial small subunit ribosomal RNA
Source: RNAcentral